AGUGGGGAAUAUUGCGCAAUGGGGGGAACCCUGACGCAGCAACGCCGCGUGAGUGAAGAAGGCCUUCGGGUUGUAAAGCUCUGUCAAUGGGGAAGAAUAAAAGUACGUAAAAAGCGUAUAAGAUGACAGUACCCAAGGAGGAGGCCACGGCUAACUACGUGCCAGCAGCCGCGGUAAUACGUAGGUGGCAAGCGUUGUCCGGAAUUAUUGGGCGUAAAGGGCGUGUAGGUGGUCAAACAAGUCAGGUGUGAAACCCCGGGGCUUAACUUCGGGCAUGCAUUUGAAACUGAAAGACUUGAGGGCAAGAGAGGGAAGUGGAAUUCCUAGUGUAGCGGUGAAAUGCGUAGAUAUUAGGAGGAACACCAGUGGCGAAGGCGACUUUCUGGAUUCAAACUGACGCUGAGGUACGAAAGCGUGGGUAGCAAACAGGAUUAGAUACCCUGGUAGUCCACGCCGUAAACGAUGUCAACUAACCGUUGGGUUCUUAAGGAACUUAGUGGUGGAGCUAACGUAUUAAGUUGACCGCCUGGGGAGUACGGCCGCAAGGCUA
Molecule: ribosomal RNA, 550 nt
Filed under: uncultured bacterium
Lineage: Bacteria
Description: bacterial SSU rRNA
Rfam family: Bacterial small subunit ribosomal RNA
Source: RNAcentral